UAACUUACAACAUGCAUAAAACAAAUAAAGUCGCUACAAUAAUAUCACCCUUAUACAACUACUAACAUAACUGUCAAUUCAAAAGGAUUUUGACUUGUUAAUGAACCUCAUAAUUAAUAUCAACAUCAAGCACAAGUGCCCAAAAGUUACAAUCUCUGGAACUUACCUUUACAAAAAGUUUUAGAUUCAUCCAAGCUCAACGGUCAGCAAGAAAUGUCCUCAGCCAUUCAAGUCUUCGAUCAGGAUCAAUACUAAAAAACACAAACAUAAGAGUUG
Molecule: long non-coding RNA, 276 nt
Filed under: Theobroma cacao (cacao)
Lineage: Eukaryota; Viridiplantae; Streptophyta; Magnoliopsida; Malvales; Malvaceae
Description: long non-coding RNA (TCAC_LNC005323)
Source: RNAcentral